UGAAAGUGCUAUAAAAUGUACCAGUUAGUUCUCGAAUCCCAUCACUUUAAAAGAAUUCUAACUAGUUCUGCCAGUAAUCAGCUCUCUUAUGGUCUACUCUUAGGUGAAGCUGAAGCUAACAAAGACCGCCAACAGCCAGGAACCUAAAAAUUCAGUGAAACUCUGCUUCAGCUUGCUGUGAUGUCAGAAAACAUGCAGGGCAAAGGAAUAUGAAGAAAGAGGUCAACAAGAUGACUACUGAGCAGAUAAAAGUCCUGGCUGAUAAGUUGAGGAUGAUCCCUGGCUUCACAAGAGGCUGCAAUCAAUGAAGACGACAGACAACCAAGGAGAAGUCAGUAAGGCACAGAGUACUUGAGACGGCUAAGAGUGAUUUGGAGAAAAACAACCUAGAAGUCAGAGGGAUGCUUUUGGUUUUCAAUGUGGUUGUCAGAGAAGGCUGUACCUUUGAACAUUUCCAUAAAGGAGAUGAGUUGGGGGCAAGCAAAUGAUACAUUUCUGCUGACAGCUUUCAGUAACCCAACAACAGUGGAACAAGAGACAGCGUUAUGGUAGACGAAACUGGCAAAGGGAGGAAGCAGACGCUGAGGACUGUUGAGGCGUUUUGGACUAUCACAGGAGAGAAGCCAAGUUUCAAGUGGUGGAGUGGUGUGUUCCAAGUUCCUUUCUGAAGGAUCACUAUAGUGGUUUGCAAAGAGGAAGGACGGCUUUGGGUAUCAAACGGGAUGUAGAGAGAAGCCUCCAGUAAUUCAGGCAAACAAGAACUUACGGGCUAGGUCCCUUUCAGUAGACCUGGAAUCCGCCUGCAUCCCUCGCUCUACUCGAACAGCACAUGCUCAGACAGGGAACCGACCCCAAGAUAAGGCUUGAGAUAUACUGGGUACCAUCAGAUGACCAUGCUUCCACAGAACCACCAAGCCAGGGCAAAUUUCAGGAAUAACUUCAGGAGUUGCAGAGUAAAGCUGAUGGAAAAGGGCCUCUUCAUGGACUAUUCUAGAACAAACCAGGAAAAGGGAACACAGGAAAGAAUGAACGACAAAAAGUUGUCAAACAGUGAAUAUCUGGGCAACAUGAAGAGAAGAGGACCAAGUCUAGUUCCCAGAACAAAUGCCUUCUCUUUGGGCUGAAACAUGAGUUGUGAAUUAAAGGAGAACACCCCCUUGCAUUACAAACCUCCAGCUUAAUUACAGUGAAGACUGGGGAAGAGAGAGGUGAGAAACAAAGUUGGGGAAUUACCUAUAUCUAAACAUGCUUUGAACCAGAGGAAGAAGUACAAGAGUGAUGGGUG
Molecule: long non-coding RNA, 1285 nt
Filed under: Cricetulus griseus (Chinese hamster)
Lineage: Eukaryota; Metazoa; Chordata; Mammalia; Rodentia; Cricetidae
Description: lncRNA (ENSCGRG00015035959.1)
Source: RNAcentral